RNAcentral lists this ribosomal RNA (237 nucleotides) under uncultured bacterium. RNAcentral describes it as "partial 16S ribosomal RNA". It matches the Rfam family "Bacterial small subunit ribosomal RNA", at positions 100 to 334 of the family's 1533-position model. The record is from RNAcentral.
CCGGCACGGGUGAGUAACACGUAUCCAACCUGCCGUCUACUCUUGGACAGCCUUCUGAAAGGAAGAUUAAUACAAGAUGGCAUCAUGAGUCCGCAUGUUCACAUGAUUAAAGGUAUUCCGGUAGACGAUGGGGACGCGUUCCAUUAGAUAGUAGGCGGGGUAACGGCCCACCUAGUCUUCGAUGGAUAGGGGUUCUGAGAGGAAGGUCCCCCACAUUGGAACUGAGACACGGUCCAA